GUUAGACGGGGCCCGCACAAGCGGUGGAGUAUGUGGUUUAAUUCGACGCAACGCGCAGAACCUUACCUAGACUUGACAUCCCGGGGAUUUUCUGGAAACAGAGAAGUGCUUUAGCAAUAAAGAACCCGGUGACAGGUGCUGCAUGGCUGUCGUCAGCUCGUGUCGUGAGAUGUUGGGUUAAGUCCCGCAACGAGCGCAACCCUCGCCUUUAGUUGCCAGCAUUCAGUUGGGCACUCUAGAGGGACUGCCGGUGUCAAACCGGAGGAAGGUGGGAUGACGUCAAGUCCUCAUGGCCUUUAUGUCUAGGGCUACACACGUACUACAAUGGCCGGUACAAAGGGCAGCCACUCAGCGAUGAGGCGCUAAUCCCAUAAAGCCGGUCUCAGUCCGGAUCGCAGUCUGCAACUCGACUGCGUGAAGUUGGAAUCGCUAGUAAUCGUAGAUCAGCAUGCUACGGUGAAUACGUUCCCGGGCCUU
Molecule: ribosomal RNA, 477 nt
Filed under: uncultured Desulfovibrio sp.
Lineage: Bacteria; Pseudomonadati; Thermodesulfobacteriota; Desulfovibrionia; Desulfovibrionales; Desulfovibrionaceae
Description: bacterial SSU rRNA
Rfam family: Bacterial small subunit ribosomal RNA
Source: RNAcentral